CAGGGAGACAACAAUUGAUCGUGAUGUCUGAGUUUAUUUAUCCUUAGACCAUGAUCCUGUCACCUUAGGUCGAUCGGUACCUCAGAUUGAUUGUCAUAUGCUCUGCAUUUGGCUUUUAAUUUCAGUUCCUAAACUUUGUCUAGGUCACACCCCGCAAGGGUUUUCUCCUGGGCCAUUAGCUCAGGUGGUUAGAGCGCACCCCUGAUAAGGGUGAGGUCCCUGGUUCAAGUCCAGGAUGGCCCGUUCGGUGUUGGGGGUAUAGCUCAGUUGGUAGAGCGCCUGCUUUGCAAGCAGGAUGUCAGCGGUUCGAGUCCGCUUACCUCCACUGAUCACCUCCUGCAACGACCCAAUAGAGAUCACCACUUCAUUCAUGUGACUUAGGUUUGUCCUCUGAAAUGAACCUAGCUUCCUAUCCUUUUCAAUUUUGAAAAAGAGAAAGACAGGACGCUGGGCUCACUGAAUCUUGAAAGGGAUUCAGAGAACUUCAGCAGAACCUUGACAACUGCAUAGGUAAGUCUGGAAAAGAAUAAAGCAUCUCAUGGAUGCACUUUUCUUUUGCAAAGAUCUAGGAAUUAUUUGCAUUAGCGGAUGAUUAAUUGAUCUUUAUUGCAUAAAGGACAGUGUUAAUUCUUGAGCAAGAGCUGAGAAUCUAUAGUGUUCUUUUGAUAUCAAGCAUUUGCUUGUUUAUUACGAGUUUGAUUGGAUGUUUAAAUCUUUUCUAUCUUCAUAACUCAGGGAAACUUGGGGGUAAGUUUUUAGAAACAAUUUGAAUAUCUGAGAAUUAGUGUUCAACACACUUAUGGCUCUAUAGAUAUUUAAU
RNAcentral lists this transfer RNA (820 nucleotides) under uncultured cyanobacterium. RNAcentral's name for it is "partial 16S-23S ribosomal RNA intergenic spacer". The stretch from base 253 to 325 matches the Rfam family "tRNA". Lineage: Bacteria; Bacillati; Cyanobacteriota. The record is from RNAcentral.